This 502-nucleotide ribosomal RNA is filed under the name uncultured Chloroflexota bacterium. Its description in RNAcentral is "bacterial SSU rRNA". It matches the Rfam family "Bacterial small subunit ribosomal RNA", at positions 355 to 874 of the family's 1533-position model. Lineage: Bacteria; Bacillati; Chloroflexota. The record is from RNAcentral.
UAGGGAAUAUUGCACAAUGGGCGAAAGCCUGAUGCAGCAACGCCGCGUGCACGAUGAAGGCCUUCGGGUCGUAAAGUGCUUUUCGGGGAGAUGAGCGAGGACAGUAUCCCCGGAAUAAGGAUCGGCUAACUACGUGCCAGCAGCCGCGGUAAAAACGUGGAUCCGAGCGUUAUCCGAAUUUACUGGGCGUAAAGCGCGUGCAGGCGGUUCGGUAAGUUGGAUGUGAAAUCUCCUGGCUCAACUGGGAGAGGUCGUUCAAUACUGUCGGACUAGAGGGUAGGAGAGGGAGGUAGAAUUCCCGGUGUAGUGGUGAAAUGCGUAGAUAUCGGGAGGAAUACCUGUGGCGAAAGCGGCCUCCUGGCCUAUCCUGACGCUCAGACGCGAAAGCUAGGGGAGCAAACGGGAUUAGAAACCCCGGUAGUCCUAGCUGUAAACGAUGUGAACUUGGCGUUGGUGGGUAAAAGCCAUCAGUGCCGAAGCUAACGCGAUAAGUUCACCGCCU